This 3488-nucleotide long non-coding RNA is filed under the name Selaginella moellendorffii. RNAcentral's name for it is "long non-coding RNA (SMOE_LNC001616)". Lineage: Eukaryota; Viridiplantae; Streptophyta; Lycopodiopsida; Selaginellales; Selaginellaceae. The record is from RNAcentral.
GUAUGCUUUCCAAAUUCCGGACAAGCUCUCGUCCAGCGAUGCCGCUCCACUAUUGUGUGCUGGGAUCACGGUCUAUAGCCCAAUGAAACGCUAUGGUAUGAUCUCCCAGACAGGAAAACACCUGGGAGUGAUCGGGCUGGGUGGUUUGGGUCAUAUGGCCGUUAAGUUUGGCAAAGCUUUCGGCCACAAGGUGACGGUGCUCAGCACAUCGCCGGGCAAGAAAGAGGACGCUCUCACUCUCCUUGGGGCUGACGAGUUUCUCGUCACAAAAGAUCCACAAGCGUUGCAUGUAAGUUCACGUUUAAGAUACUUUUCCUCUGGCUCGAGACGUCAUUCUUUGUUUGUUCACCAUGACAGGCCGCAGGAAAAUCCAUAGAUUGGAUCAUCGAUACAGCGGCAGGGAAACACGAUCUGAACUUGUAUCUCCCACUUCUAAAGACGGGAGGGCACUUAGUCAUGGUGGGUGUUCCACCGAGUAUUGAAUUUGCUACACACUUGAUGUUGCGUAAGUUUUUCUUUCAUACUUUUUUCUUGUUUGGCUCAUUCUAUAUAUUGUGUUUCUUAGCCAGGAGAUCGAUCUCCGGGAGCGUAACCGGCGGAUGCAAAGAGAUCGAAGAGAUGCUCCAAUUUUGUGCCGAUAAGCAAAUCCUCCCCAACAUCGAGAUAGUUCCCAUCGACUACGCAAACACUGCCAUACAAAGGAUGAUCAGAAGCGACGUUAAGUUUCGUUUCGUCAUAGACAUCGCAAGCUCUUUAAAGUAAGCGUUUUAAACAAAAGAUAAAGGUGAUUAAUAAGUUAAACCAAUAAAUCGCCUCUAGGGCUUUCAAUCCGGUUAAAAAGCUGGACAGCAGAGAUUCACAUGAAGCAAGGCAUCGCACACAGCCAAUCCAAGAACAAUAUCUCCGAGUCGGCGAUUUCCUACACCAAAGCAGCCGAGUGUUUUCGGCGAGACGGCUCUACGGACAAAGCGGUUGCGGCGUAGGUUGCGUGGAAAAAACUGGGACCUUCUUGCCAUCUCCUGGUAGCGAUCUGCUCAAAGAACAUUGGAGAGCUGGAGAGCAACGAGAGAGCGCUUGAGGCGUUCAAGACGCCCUCCAAGGUGAAUGUGAGAUUGUCGCUGUUCAAGGCGGCCGUUUGCCGCGUUCUAGAUGCGCGGUACGGGGAUCUCGAUAGAGUGGUGAAGCACGAGUACGAGGAGAUAGAUCCCGGGUUUGGAUCCAGCACAGAGUUUAGAAUUGUCCAAGGUCUUUACCUCUCGAUAGACAUGGAGGAUGAGCGUGGGUUUUGUGAUUCCGUGGAUGCUUGCGCCAAGAUGUGUGGUGCCAAAGAAACAUUAGAAUUAGCUGCCUUUUAAUAAGGUGAAUCUGGACAAUCACAGCCUCUCAAUUAAAUGCAAGUGCAAGAACGAGUGUAAACUUAUCAACAAAAGAAUGCUAUGGAACCCUCCAUGAAAUUCAAAGAAUUUAUGGCAUUUCAAUGCUAUGUGUGCAUGUUAGCCAAAAGCUUGUAGGCAGCAGUGUUGUGCAGCGGUGGGAGAAAUUCGGCCACAGUCCACGAUGAGAUUGAGGAGCUUGUGCACGCUGGGAAGGCAAGACAAGUGUCCGUUGGGAAGGCAAGAUGGGUGUGUCGUGUGUGCUCUGCCUUGACUCAGGAGAUGAAAAUUCCGGUGUGGGGGACUGGGAAUUCGUUGGUGUCUCCUGAACUGCAGCAGCGUUGAUAGAACAGAUGAGAUUCAAGGGCACUUAUACUAUGACUAACUUGCAUGCCUACAACUCGCAAACCGUAGAAAGUGUGAGGGAUUGAGAUCCCUAAGAAGAAAUAUAUAUGGAUAAUUAAUACCACGUGGUAACACAUGAUCGGCCAUUUGGUGAAGGAUUUCAGCCAUCUGGUGAGUCGUAAUGAAGCCAUUUGGUGAAAGCAUUCAUGGAUAAGUAUAUGUAUAUAAGCUAUCUGCUUGGCUAGAGACCAGCGUGGCCUUGGCUCAAAGCAACCUCACCUCCUAUGUCGAUCUUAGCUGGGAGCAGCCUGAUCAUAGCGAGUCAGUUUCAGCUCAUAGUGAGUCAGCUGCUUGGAGCAGUGAGUUGAUCACAGCUUAAGGUAGCCUAGUUACAGCGAUCAAACUUAACUUGGAGUAGCAGUUGGAAUGGCUGUCAAGCUGUAAUGGAAGCAAGUUUACAUUUUUCAAGCCUCUAGAAAAGAGUGUAGGUCCACGUUGCAUCCUUCAUGGGGAGCUAGUGAAAGAAAACUGUUCUUAAGCCUCUAGAUGGUCAGCCAUCCUUCUCUGCGUUACACCCAUAAAUACUUGAAGCUUGAAUAAAGUCCUUCAGUCUUCCUGGUUCAAUCAAGCCCUGAGAAGCCUAAAUGAAUUGAUACCUUUGCUGGAAAUUUCUUGUUAUAACUAGUGUAAAAAAAUCCACUCUCAAGAGCAAGAAUUCUUCACUAAACCCCAUAAAACCUCAUUUCAUUCCUUGCAGCCCUAGACUCCCUAGAUUUAAGACUGGGAUUCGAACUAAGCACCACUUUUUCUAUAGAGUCCAACUAUGGCGAUGGGUGUGGAAUGCGUGGGUUGGGCAGCUCGGGAUCAAUCUGGAGUUCUCUCGCGCCACGAGUUCUCUAGGAGGUAUAGUGACAAAGAUAUUUUUCUGCCUUGAUUCUGCUCCAGAGCGAUAGGAGACGAUGACAUUUGUUUCAAAAUCACCCACUGCGGGAUCUGUUACGCUGAAGCCGUGUGGCUUUUCAACAAGCUUGGCGACACCAAAUAUCCCAUCGUUCCUGGGUAAGCGAGAGAGAACUCCCCAAUUCGUUCUUCAAUUAUCUGGUUUCCUGGAUCCCCUUUCUUUUCUUUUGAACCCAGCAUGAUCUCUCCCUCAGUUUUUCUUCUGUUCUUAUUUUUGUUCUUGGUUUCUCUCCUAGUUGACUUUUUCAGUUUUUUCCUCACGGCUUUGAUUCCAUCCAUAGACACGAGAUUGUAGGCGUGGUGGCAGAGGUGGGCUCCAAUGUGACACGCUUCAAGGUUGGCGACCGCGCUGGCGUUGGAGCUUACUGCCGCUCCUGUGGCUCUUGCGACGACUGCGAUAAUGGAAUGGAGAACUAUUGCCACAAAUCGCUCCUCACGUACAACUACGAAGACAUCGAUGGAACCAUCACCAAAGGAGGCUUCUCCAACAAAAUGGUUGUCCACUCAAGGUAAGAAACUUCAAAGUUUUUUUCGAGUUUUUGAUCGAACCUUCUGUUGUCUCGCAGGUAUGCUUUCCAAAUUCCGGACAAGCUCUCGUCCAGCGAUGCCGCUCCACUAUUGUGUGCUGGGAUCACGGUCUAUAGCCCAAUGAAACGCUAUGGUAUGAUCUCCCAGACAGGGAAACACCUGGGAGUGAUCGGGCUGGGUGGUUUGGGUCAUAUGGCCGUCAAGUUUGGCAAAGCUUUCGGCCACAAGGUGACGGUGCUCAGCACAUCGCCGGGCAAGAAAGAGGACGCUCUCACUCUCCUU